UCAUUGCCGCGCUCUCUCCUCGGGAAUGCUGGGAAUGUUGAGUCAGGCGCUGGCCGGGCUGCGAGCUGGCCGAGGCUGAGAGCGGGCAAGGCAGGCAAGCAAGGCAGGCAGCCCGGGAGAGGAGCCUUCCCGCUGGGGACGGACUGCGGCGCCGUGGGUCGGUCUCCUCGGGCGCUGGCCUCCUCCCUCUCUCCCUCCCUCCCUGCGACGCCGCAAGCCGUGAUGGUGUAGGGCUCCAUGCGAGGAGGAAGAGGAAGAGGAGGAGGAGGAGGAAGAAGAAGAGGAAGGUGCAAGACGGUGGUGGGGAAGGUAUCUUCAGCAUGGAGAAGUUGCAAUAAAGAAUAGUUUGCCUUCUGGAAGAAUGCUGUGAAGCCAUUUGCCAACAAUAGCAACUGAAAUAGAGGCUAAAUAUCCCACUUAAGUGUGAUUAAUUUCUUAUUAAGUAGUACCUCAGAUUAUAGUAAAAAUGUACGGAAGUGCAAGAACAAUCAGUAACUUGGACGGCAGUCCUGCCAGAUCCCCUCGUUUGCCAAGAUCUCCUCGUUUGGGCCAUCGGCGAACAAGCAGUGGAGGAGGUGGAGGGACAGGUAAGACAUUAUCAAUGGAGAAUAUCCAGUCCCUUAAUGCCGCCUAUGCAACUUCUGGACCAAUGUAUCUGAGUGAUCAUGAAGGUGUGGCAUCCACUACUUACCCAAAGGGCACAAUGACUCUUGGAAGGGCUACGAGUCGAGCUGUGUAUGGCAGUCGAGUUACAGCUAUGGGCAGCAGUCCUAAUAUUGCUUCAGCUGGCCUUUCCCAUUCAGAUCUCCUUUCCUAUACCGACCAACACGGAGGACUAACCACUGCUUCCCAUCAUCACCAUCAUCAGAUCCCUUCUAUGCUCAGACAGGUAAGGGACAGUACCAUGCUAGAUAUGCAGGCCCAGCUUAAGGAAUUACAGAGAGAGAAUGACCUCCUAAGGAAAGAACUGGACAUCAAAGACAGCAAGCUUGGCUCUUCCAUGAACAGCAUCAAGACGUUCUGGAGUCCAGAACUCAAAAAGGAAAGAGUCUUGAGGAAAGAAGAAGCUGCCAGAAUGUCUGUUCUAAAAGAGCAGAUGAGGGUUUCUCACGAGGAGAACCAGUUUUGGGAUGCCAGGAAAACAAAGCAUCUUCAGCUAACUAUCCAGGCACUGCAAGAUGAGCUAAGGACUCAGAGAGACCUCAACCACCUUCUCCAACAAGAAAGUGGAAACAGAGGUGCUGAACACUUCACCAUCGAACUUACUGAAGAGAAUUUCCGAAGGCUUCAAGCUGAACAUGACAGGCAGGCAAAAGAGUUAUUUCUCUUGAGAAAAACCUUGGAAGAAAUGGAGCUGAGAAUUGAAACUCAGAAGCAGACGCUAAAUGCCAGGGAUGAAUCCAUCAAAAAGCUUUUAGAGAUGUUACAGAGCAAAGGGUUGCCAUCCAAAGGAAUGGAGGAUGACAAUGAACGAACUCGAAGGAUGGCUGAGGCCGAAUCUCAGGUUAAUCAUUUAGAAGUGAUUUUAGACCAGAAGGAGAAGGAAAACAUACAUCUGAGAGAGGAACUGCACAGAAGGACUCAACUACAGCCUGAGCCAGCCAAGACGAAAGCUCUUCAGACUGUCAUAGAGAUGAAGAAAGAACCAUCUUUAUGUAUUGAUCCAGCUGUGAUAUUUCAGGACACAAAAAUAGCUUCACUGGAACGUAAUAUCAGAGACCUUGAAGAUGAAAUACAGAUGUUGAAGACAAAUGGAGUUCUGAACACAGAAGACAGAGAAGAGGAAAUCAAACAAAUAGAAGUUUACAAGAGUCACUCGAAGUUCAUGAAAAAUAAGAUUGACCAGCUAAAGCAGGAAUUUUCAAAGAAAGAGUCAGAACUUCUUGCCUUACAAACAAAGCUUGAAACCCUUAGCAAUCAGAAUUCAGAUUGCAAGCAACACAUUGAAGUGCUUAAAGAGUCGCUUACUGCCAAAGAACAGAGAGCUGCCAUACUUCAGACAGAGGUUGAUGCCUUGAGAUUACGUCUAGAAGAGAAAGAAAGUUUUCUUAAUAAAAAAACCAAACAACUGCAAGACCUCACAGAAGAAAAGGGAACUCUGGCUGGAGAAAUCCGAGAUAUGAAAGAUAUGUUAGAAGUCAAAGAAAGAAAAAUUAAUGUUCUUCAAAAAAAGAUUGAAAACCUUCAAGAACAACUUAGAGAUAAAGACAAGCAAUUAACCAAUUUGAAAGAUCGUGUGAAAUCCUUGCAGACUGAUUCAAGUAACACAGACACUGCUCUAGCAACGUUGGAAGAAGCUCUCUCAGAGAAGGAGAGAAUUAUAGAGCGAUUAAAGGAGCAAAGGGAGAGAGAUGACCGUGAAAGGGUUGAAGAAAUUGAAUCCUUUAAAAAAGAAAACAAAGACUUGAAGGAAAAGGUGAAUGCUUUACAAGCAGAGCUAACAGAAAAAGAGUCUAGCUUAAUUGACCUCAAAGAACAUGCAUCAUCAUUGGCUUCUACAGGGCUGAAAAGAGACUCCAAGUUAAAGUCUUUAGAGAUAGCCAUAGAACAAAAGAAGGAGGAGUGUAGUAAGCUAGAAGCACAGCUGAAAAAGCAAGCUGAACAAUUGUUCAAUCAGAUGUACAAUCCAAUGCCAAUUAGGAAUAAUGGGAAACAAGGGGCUCAUGAAACUGAGGAAGAAGCACGAAUCAACCCUGACUUUGCUGACAGAAUGAAACAGCUUGACAAAGAGGCGGCAUACUAUAGAGAUGAAUGUGGCAAAGCUCAAGCUGAAGUUGACAGGCUUCUAGAAAUCCUCAAGGAAGUAGAAAAUGAAAAAAAUGACAAAGAUAAGAAAAUUGCUGAGCUAGAAAGCUUGACUUCCAGACAUAUGAAGGAUCAAAACAAGAAAGUGGCCAACCUGAAGCACAAUCAACAAAUGGAAAAGAAGAAGAAUGCCCAAUUGUUAGAAGAAGUCCGUAGACGUGAAGAUAAUAUGACAGAUAACUCUCAGCAUUUGCAGCUAGAAGAACUAAGGAAUGCACUGGAUAAGACCAGACAAGAACUGGAUGCCACCAAAGCACGCCUUGCCUCAACCCAACAGUCUUUGGGUGAAAAAGAAGCACAUCUGGCCAAUUUAAGAAUAGAACGGAGAAAACAGUUAGAAGAGAUCCUGGAGAUGAAACAGGAAGCACUGCUUGCUGCCAUCAGCGAAAAAGAUGCAAACAUUGCCUUGCUUGAACUGUCUGCGUCAAAGAAGAAGAAAACCCAAGAAGAAGUGAUGGCUUUGAAAAGAGAAAAAGACAGAUUAGUCCAUCAGUUAAAACAGCAGGUGUAUAGAAAUAGGAAACAGCCCCAGAGCAUGAACUAUCCUUCUAUUUGUGAUGCUGACUUCAUCACAGACAAUGGUGCCAAGUACCUGGGUUCCAGACAUGAUGUACCCAUGCCUCAGACACAGAAUAGGAUGAAGCUGAUGGCAGACAACUAUGAUGAUGACCAUCACCACUACCAUCACCAUCACCACCAUCAUCACCACAGAUCGCCUGGGAGGACCCAGCACUCCAAUCACCGACCCUCUCCAGAACAGAUGAUCCAGUCACUGUUGGAGGCACAUGGCCACGGCAAAAUCCCAUGCUGUACAUUGAUCACCUGUCCAACCUUCGCCUAGAGUGUGAUCCCCAGUUCCUUCAAGAGAUCCAACUUUACUUGUCUAUAACGAAGAGGAAGAGGAGGAGGGAGACAUCUGGGAUAACCAAGCAUCAGAGCAUUAACACCAGAGCAGUUAUCAGAGAAGCUGGAGAAAGAAGUAAACAAUAUGCAGCACUGCAUGAUGAAUUGGCAAGAAAAAUGACUGAAGGAGGAGGAAGGAAGAAGGGGGAGGAGGAGGAAGAAGAUCAGCAAUGGGACCCUGAAUGUAAUCACCACUCUCUCCCAAAAAGUCCACAGAAGUGGAUAGGGCACACAAAGGUUGCCAUCAAAUAAUAUGCUGCAUAAGCAGGUGUCUUCUCCAUUGUUUCUUGUAAUCUAUUACGAAGUCAGAUACUUUGGAAAACAAUUAAGGGGACUUCAUCAGGAAUGAGAAGAACUUCCAUUACUUUUAAUGGGGUCAUAUGAAUUGUUCCUUUUUUCCAGCUGAGCAUUAUUCAAUGAAGUUCAUUGAAACAGUUCAUUGACAGAUUUGUAUUAAUUUUUAAUAUGCAAUUGAGGUUCCAUUAGCUUGCAGUGUCACCAUCUGCUGAUUAUGGUUAGUUUCUUCUAAAGUAUCACUUCUAAUGCAUUAGAUUAUUACAGGACUAGAAAGCUGUUACAUAAUGAUGUCAGCAUUAAUCAUGUCCACAAUAAUGUGGGCUUUUCAGGGUAAUAAUAUGUCUUUGCCCUCCUCUGUUUCUUAUCUUAUUCAGACCAUUUUGAUUAUGUAACCACCAGUACUAAGCUCUGGGCCAGGUUGGAAAUGAAAUCAAUUUUUGGUACUAACAUCUGUUGGCAUAUGACAAUAUGGUGUGUGUCUCUGACAAUGCAUGGGGCAUCUAAUAGUACAAUCCUAUACAUAUCUACUUAGACCUAAGUUCCAGUGAGUUUAAUGGUACUUAUUCUUAGCUUGGUGUGUAUAGGAUUGCAGUCUAAAUUGGCUAGAAAUUAUUUAUAUGCAGUGGUUGAUGUCUGUCUGGAUGAUAAAAGCUUGAAGUAAGCAUGUGUACAUGUAUCUGUGUACAUAUUAUACAAACAUCUAUGAGGAUGUAUCAAACUUUUAUUGUCCAAAUGCACAACAGUACUUCAUAGGAAAGCUGGGACUCUUAAUUUUUUAAUUAAAAAAAAGAAUGUUGUGAUUAUUUGAUAUAUGCAUUAGGUCUCCUUUUUGAGAAGGGACCAUACGUUGUUGUUUUCUUAACAGGGCAACAAUGCUUACUAUACUUUAUACUGUAUUUUAAAUGUUAAACAAAAUAAAGUGUCAAUGAAUAAGGAGAUAAUUGAAGGUUAUCUCCAUGAUGAAACAAAUGAUAAUAAACACGAACAAGUAAAAGCACAUGCCAGAAGGGAAAUGCUUGGAGUGGGGAAAGGCUGAAGCUGUUCGGUGUAGGGACAGAGUAUUAUUGAUGAUUAAAUGUCUGUUGUUUCCCAAAGCAAAGGUCCCCCCCUUUAAUAAGCAUUUCCAUUCAAUCUGGCAUAUGUAUGCAUGUAAGGGUUCAAUUCUUUCACUGACACAUCUUUUUGCCAGUGGAAGGGGCUCUUUGAGGUUCAUAUAAAUGGAUAUUGACUAUCUGCAAUUCUAAUAAAAUAAAAAUAGAAAAUGAAACAACAUAGGAAAUCACCAACCCCUUCUGCUGUGAAAUGUCCAUUUAUUUUAAUAAGAUACAUGCUGGGCUUUGCUGAAAUAAAUGGAUGUCAUGCAGCAGUACUGUGGAGUGGGCUGCCUCCCCAUGGAAUUAAACAUGUGUGGCCUUAAAUCUUAGUAUCUUUCUUUUCUUUUUCUUUGCUGCUGUGAGAAAAAAAAUCUGAACAGGAUAUUCCUAACAAUCUUGCACUGAAUUUAGAAACAAAAUAUUGUUAUUGCUUUUGAGAGGUUAGUGCAAUUAAUCCUGAUCAUCUUUUAUGAGCCAUACAUAUUAACCCUCCUGGAAAAUAUGAUUUUUGUAGAAAACAAUAAUUUCUUUGUUGAGUACACCGUCAUCGUUGAUGAAAGUAAAGAUCCACUGGAAGCAAGCAGAAUUUUCGUUAGGAAUUGAAUACCUGAAAUAACAAAUCUGUAUAGAAUCUAUGUAACAUAGAUAUCAUUCAUAUUCAUGUUAUGCUUUAAAAGUUUGUCCUUUAUCAAUGAAAUUUUAAACUUUUGGUUUUUUUUCAUUUGUUUAAAAAGCAAAGCUCCUGGAAAUUUAUUUAGCACAUAUGACAAAUGUUGCACUUGCGAACUUGGACAACAAACUUGUAUUUCUUGGGACAAAGUUGUUGUCCUAGUAAGAGACAACUGUCUGGGCACAAUCCUCAAGGGAGUUCUUCGGCACAAGCGCCAUUGAAGCGAAAGGGACGAGAGGUAGGUUAGGAGGAGAGGUGGACAACUUCUCUGUCAACCCUAUAGGGCUUGGGCAAGGAAGCUUUGCAGAAGAUCAUGCCUUCUGUGUCUCUUACAGUCAGGUCUUUACCUUAAUUCUGCAACUGAAUACUUGAAGUAGGAAAUAAACUAGGAAAACAUAGGGUCUUUACAAAUCAAAACUGUAUAGCUAGAUAUUUAUAUGUGUGUGCCAAUUUUGUCACAGAUAUUAUUUUGGGGGCAUUUUUUAUUUGCUCCACUCAUAUUGGUAAGAGUAUUGAUCCUGACUUUUAUCAAGGCCUAAGACUUAGCCUGUAUAGAAGAAAAUUUUAUCUAACAUUACAUUGUUUCCCUCUUCCUCUUUUUGUUUUACAUGAUAUUCUGUAAUAUUUAGGGCAGAAUUUUUUUCAUACCGUGAAAUAGAAUCUCUGGGUUUACAACAAACACUGUGAUGUCGGGCAAACAUUUUACUCAAGCAAUGUUUGGUAGAUUUCUCCUCCCCUUUCAGUGUAAAAAAAAGAGAACUCAAACAACAAUUUUUGGUUAACAUUUAAGAUGAGUAUUAUUUUACUGUGAAAUUAUGCUUGUACUGCACAUUCUUUCAUUUCAAUGUACAAAUGGAAUUUUGUAUUUAAAUGACUUUUGUGUAUCUAGUAUGCACGUAAAUGCACAUUGACUUUCAUUUGAAAGUGGGUUUUGAUUUCCUUUUUAAACAGUGUUUAUGAAAAGACUACUGAUGUGUCACAACCUAUAUCUGCAUUUUCCUUUGGUGUAGAGUGAUUGUUUGAAUGUGAUGUUCUGCAGCAAUGGGUCAGUAUUCCCUAUUUACCUUUGACCCUUAUUUGAUAGUGCUUCUUGUAAUAAUUUUCUUCAAGUGAGUGGCAUGUUCUGGAUUGUGAUCUCGACAUAUGGUUAAGGACAUUGAUAUGAAAAACUAAGGAAUCCUUAGGAAUUACCAGUGGGCAUGUUUAGAGCAGUCAUUGUACUUUUAAUGUCUUGUAGAAGUGUUAAGUACCAAGGUAUUUAGAGUUCAUAACAUUGUUAUCAUGUGUAUGAGAAGUGCUCGGUGUUGAUCAGCUCGUUUAUAUUCAUCAAAUAAAUCUGGUUUCUUUCUGAA
This is a non-coding RNA of Anolis sagrei ordinatus, 7121 nucleotides long. Lineage: Eukaryota; Metazoa; Chordata; Lepidosauria; Squamata; Anolidae. The record is from RefSeq and is a predicted model, not a curated record.